AGAGACCCAACUCCCGCCAGCUGUCUUCUGACCUCCAUAUAUGCCUGGUGACACAGUGCCCACUUACCUCCCACACACAAAAUAAAUAAAUGGAAUUACAUUUUUUAGUUUAAAAUUUAAAAAAAAUUAAAACUCUCACUGCCCGUAGGCAGGACGCUCCCCCUCAUCCCAGCUCUGGCAGCUGCUCAUCCUCCAUUAUGGCACGUCCUGUGAACGGAGUCUGCUUUUUUGCUCUGGCUUCUCCCUCGCCACCAUCCCCAAGUCCACCCCUGGUGAAGGCCAUGCCUUUGCUCCAUUCAUUUCUGUGGUCCCAUCACAUCCCAUUUUAUGUAUGGGGGGGGUUUAUUUACUGAGACAGGGUCUCGCUGUGUAGCCCUGACUGUCCUGGAACUUGCUAUGUAGACCAGGCUGGCCUUGAACUUGGAGAUCCACCUGCCUCUGGGUUCUGGGAUCAAAGCACUGUACCUGGUCCAUGUGUUUUCUUCUUUCAAUUUCGAUUCUUUCU
Molecule: long non-coding RNA, 505 nt
Filed under: Mus musculus (house mouse)
Lineage: Eukaryota; Metazoa; Chordata; Mammalia; Rodentia; Muridae
Description: long non-coding RNA chr5:120603744-120604249
Source: RNAcentral